Molecule: ribosomal RNA, 654 nt
Filed under: uncultured bacterium
Lineage: Bacteria
Description: bacterial SSU rRNA
Rfam family: Bacterial small subunit ribosomal RNA
Source: RNAcentral
UGCAAGUCGAACGGCAGCACGGGGGCAACCCUGGUGGCGAGUGGCGAACGGGUGAGUAACAUAUCGGAACAUAUUCGGAAGUGGGGGAUAGCUCGGCGAAAGCCGGAUUAAUACCGCAUAUGCCCUGAGGGGGAAAGGGGGGGAUCGCAAGACCUCUCGCUUUCGGAGUGGCCGAUAUCAGAUUAGCUAGUUGGUGGGGUAAAGGCUCACCAAGGCGACGAUCUGUAGCUGGUCUGAGAGGACGACCAGCCACACUGGAACUGAGACACGGUCCAGACUCCUACGGGAGGCAGCAGUGGGGAAUUUUGGACAAUGGGCGCAAGCCUGAUCCAGCCAUACCGCGUGAGUGAAGAAGGCCUUCGGGUUGUAAAGCUCUUUCAGCCGGAAAGAAAACGCAUCCCCUAAUACGGGGUGUGGAUGACGGUACCGGAAGAAGAAGCACCGGCUAACUACGUGCCAGCAGCCGCGGUAAUACGUAGGGUGCGAGCGUUAAUCGGAAUUACUGGGCGUAAAGCGUGCGCAGGCGGCUUUUUAAGCCAGAUGUGAAAUCCCCGGGCUUAACCUGGGAACUGCAUUUGGAACUGGAAGGCUAGAGUGUAGCAGAGGGGGGUAGAAUUCCACGUGUAGCAGUGAAAUGCGUAGAGAUGUGGAGGA